GAUGAACGCUAGCGGCAGGCUUAACACAUGCAAGUCGAGGGGCAGCAUAACUACUUGUAGUUGAUGGCGACCGGCGCACGGGUGCGUAACGCGUAUAGAAUCUGCCUUGUACAGAGGGAUAGCCUUUAGAAAUGAAGAUUAAUACCUCAUAAUGUGUUCUUAUGGCAUCGUAGGAAUAUUAAAGAUUUAUCGGUACAAGAUGACUAUGCGUCCUAUUAGCUAGAUGGUAAGGUAACGGCUUACCAUGGCUACGAUAGGUAGGGGGUCUGAGAGGAUUAUCCCCCACACUGGUACUGAGACACGGACCAGACUCCUACGGGAGGCAGCAGUGAGGAAUAUUGGUCAAUGGAGGCAACUCUGAACCAGCCAUGCCGCGUGAAGGAUGACGGCCCUAUGGGUUGUAAACUUCUUUUAUAUGGGAAGAAACGGUUUUACGUGUAAAGCUUUGACGGUACCAUACGAAUAAGGACCGGCUAACUCCG
Molecule: ribosomal RNA, 482 nt
Filed under: uncultured Flavobacteriaceae bacterium
Lineage: Bacteria; Pseudomonadati; Bacteroidota; Flavobacteriia; Flavobacteriales; Flavobacteriaceae
Description: bacterial SSU rRNA
Rfam family: Bacterial small subunit ribosomal RNA
Source: RNAcentral